AAGCAGGAUUCAUACUUAAAUAUGGCUACUAAGUGCUGUGUUGUUGUUUCCCCCUGCUCAAAAUAAGGCAGUUUCUUAACUAUACCUGUCUGCUGUACUCCUGUAGCAGCCAGGGAUGCUUGGUCUCAAACAU
Cynocephalus volans (Philippine flying lemur) is the source of this 133-nucleotide small nucleolar RNA. RefSeq annotates it as small nucleolar RNA SNORA63. The transcript has a single exon. The record is from RefSeq and is a predicted model, not a curated record. Lineage: Eukaryota; Metazoa; Chordata; Mammalia; Dermoptera; Cynocephalidae.